RNAcentral lists this ribosomal RNA (468 nucleotides) under uncultured bacterium. RNAcentral describes it as "partial 16S ribosomal RNA". It matches the Rfam family "Bacterial small subunit ribosomal RNA", at positions 28 to 507 of the family's 1533-position model. The record is from RNAcentral.
GACGAACGCUGGCGGCGUGCUUAACACACGCCAGUCGAACGGAAAGGCCCUGCUUUUGUGGGGUGCUCGAGUGGCGAACGGGUGAGUAACACGUGAGUAACCUGCCCUUGACUUUGGGAUAACUUCAGGAAACUGGGGCUAAUACCGGAUAGGAGCUCCUGCUGCAUGGUGGGGGUUGGAAAGUUUCGGCGGUUGGGGAUGGACUCGCGGCUUAUCAGCUUGUUGGUGGGGUAGUGGCUUACCAAGGCUUUGACGGGUAGCCGGCCUGAGAGGGUGACCGGCCACAUUGGGACUGAGAUACGGCCCAGACUCCUACGGGAGGCAGCAGUGGGGAAUAUUGCACAAUGGGCGGAAGCCUGAUGCAGCAACGCCGCGUGCGGGAUGACGGCCUUCGGGUUGUAAACCGCUUUCGCCUGUGACGAAGCGUGAGUGACGGUAAUGGGUAAAGAAGCACCGGCUAACUACGUG